GAUCAUGGCUCAGGAUGAACGCUGGCGGCGUGCUUAACACAUGCAAGUCGAACGAAGCACUUUAUUUGAAUUCCUUCGGGAAUGAAGAUUCUGUGACUGAGUGGCGGACGGGUGAGUAACGCGUGGAUAACCUGCCUCAUACAGGGGGAUAACAGCCGGAAACGGCUGCUAAUACCGCAUAAGCGCACGGUACCGCAUGGUACAGUGUGAAAAACUCCGGUGGUAUGGGAUGGAUCCGCGUCUGAUUAGCCAGUUGGCGGGGUAACGGCCCACCAAAGCGACGAUCAGUAGCCGACCUGAGAGGGUGACCGGCCACAUUGGGACUGAGACACGGCCCAAACUCCUACGGGAGGCAGCAGUGGGGAAUAUUGCACAAUGGGGGAAACCCUGAUGCAGCGACGCCGCGUGAGCGAAGAAGUAUUUCGGUAUGUAAAGCUCUAUCAGCAGGGAAGAAGAAAUGACGGUACCUGACUAAGAAGCCCCGGCUAACUACGUG
RNAcentral lists this ribosomal RNA (496 nucleotides) under uncultured bacterium. Its description in RNAcentral is "bacterial SSU rRNA". It matches the Rfam family "Bacterial small subunit ribosomal RNA", at positions 15 to 507 of the family's 1533-position model. The record is from RNAcentral.